GAUGAACGCUGGCGGCGUGUCUAAAACAUGCAAGUCGUGCGGCAGCGAGCCCUUCGGGGUGUCGGCGAGCGGCGGACGGCUGAGUAACGCGUGGGAACGUACCCCAAAGUGAGGGAUAACCUCAAGAAAUCGAGGCUAAUACCGCAUGUGAUCUUCGGAUUAAAGCUUUAUGCGCUUUGGGAACGGCCCGCGUCCGAUUAGCUAGUUGGUGAGGUAAAGGCUCACCAAGGCGACGAUCGGUAGCUGGUCUGAGAGGAUGAUCAGCCAGACUGGAACUGAGACACGGUCCAGACUCCUACGGGAGGCAGCAGUUAGGAAUCUUCCACAAUGGGCGAAAGCCUGAUGGAGCAACGCCGCGUGCAGGAUGAAGGCCCUCGGGUCGUAAACUGCUUUUGUUAGCGAAGAAUAUGACGGUAACUAACGAAUAAGGAUCGGCUAACUACGUGCCAGCCGCCGCAGUAA
RNAcentral lists this ribosomal RNA (462 nucleotides) under uncultured bacterium. RNAcentral describes it as "partial 16S ribosomal RNA". It matches the Rfam family "Bacterial small subunit ribosomal RNA", at positions 28 to 523 of the family's 1533-position model. The record is from RNAcentral.